GAUGAAGAACGUUAGCGAAAUGCGAUAAGUAAUGUGAAUUGCAGAAUUCAGUGAAUCAUCGAAUCUUUGAACGCACAUUGCGCCCCCUGGUAUUCCGGGGGGCAUGCCUGUUCGAGCGUCAUUUCACCACUCAAGCCUCGCUUGGUAUUGGGCAACGCGGUCCGCCGCGUGCCUCAAAUCGACCGGCUGGGUCUUCUGUCCCCUAAGCGUUGUGGAAACUAUUCGCUAAAGGGUGUUCGGGAGGCUACGCCGUAAAACAACCCCAUUUCUAAGGUUGACCUCGGAUCAGGUAGGGAUACCCGCUGAACUUAAGCAUAUCAAUAAGCGGAGGA
RNAcentral lists this unclassified non-coding RNA (332 nucleotides) under soil metagenome. Its description in RNAcentral is "partial contains 5.8S ribosomal RNA, internal transcribed spacer 2, and large subunit ribosomal RNA". The stretch from base 1 to 121 matches the Rfam family "5.8S ribosomal RNA", at positions 35 to 154 of the family's 154-position model. The record is from RNAcentral.